RNAcentral lists this ribosomal RNA (460 nucleotides) under uncultured bacterium. RNAcentral describes it as "partial 16S ribosomal RNA". It matches the Rfam family "Bacterial small subunit ribosomal RNA", at positions 338 to 795 of the family's 1533-position model. The record is from RNAcentral.
CCUACGGGAGGCAGCAGUGAGGAAUAUUGGUCAAUGGACGAGAGUCUGAACCAGCCAAGUAGCGUGAAGGAUGACUGCCCUAUGGGUUGUAAACUUCUUUUAUAUGGGAAUAAAAUGUUCCACGUGUGGGAUGUUGUAUGUACCAUAUGAAUAAGGAUCGGCUAACUCCGUGCCAGCAGCCGCGGUAAUACGGAGGAUCCGAGCGUUAUCCGGAUUUAUUGGGUUUAAAGGGAGCGUAGGUGGAUUGUUAAGUCAGUUGUGAAAGUUUGCGGCUCAACCGUAAAAUUGCAGUUGAAACUGGCAGUCUUGAGGACAGUAGAGGUGGGCGGAAUUCGUGGUGUAGCGGUGAAAUGCUGAGAUAUCACGAAGAACUCCGAUUGCGAAGGCAGCUCACUGGACUGCAACUGACACUGAGGCUCGAAAGUGUGGGUAUCAAACAGGAUUAGAUACCCCUGUAGUC